RNAcentral lists this ribosomal RNA (472 nucleotides) under uncultured Frankineae bacterium. RNAcentral describes it as "bacterial SSU rRNA". It matches the Rfam family "Bacterial small subunit ribosomal RNA", at positions 91 to 578 of the family's 1533-position model. Lineage: Bacteria; Bacillati; Actinomycetota; Actinomycetes; Frankiales. The record is from RNAcentral.
UGGAGCGGCGAACGGGUGAGUAACACGUGGGCAACCUGCCCUCAGCUCUGGGAUAACUCCGGGAAACCGGGGCUAAUACCGGAUAUGACCUUUCAUCUCAUGGUGUUUGGUGGAAAGUUUUUCGGCUGAGGAUGGGCCCGCGGCCUAUCAGCUUGUUGGUGGGGUAAUGGCCUACCAAGGCGACGACGGGUAGCCGGCCUGAGAGGGCGACCGGCCACACUGGGACUGAGACACGGCCCAGACUCCUACGGGAGGCAGCAGUGGGGAAUAUUGCGCAAUGGGCGAAAGCCUGACGCAGCGACGCCGCGUGAGGGAUGAAGGCCUUCGGGUUGUAAACCUCUUUCAGCAGGGACGAAGCGAAAGUGACGGUACCUGCAGAAGAAGCACCGGCCAACUACGUGCCAGCAGCCGCGGUAAUACGUAGGGUGCAAGCGUUGUCCGGAAUUAUUGGGCGUAAAGAGCUCGUAGGCGG